RNAcentral lists this microRNA precursor (52 nucleotides) under Echinops telfairi (small Madagascar hedgehog). Its description in RNAcentral is "miRNA (ENSETEG00000026907.1)". The record is from RNAcentral. Lineage: Eukaryota; Metazoa; Chordata; Mammalia; Afrosoricida; Tenrecidae.
CUGUCACCAUACUCCGAGGAGAUGGGGCCUCGGGGGGUGGCGGGGGGCGGGG